This 318-nucleotide ribosomal RNA is filed under the name Scopulariopsis sp. Its description in RNAcentral is "LSU rRNA". It matches the Rfam family "Eukaryotic large subunit ribosomal RNA", at positions 331 to 670 of the family's 3401-position model. Lineage: Eukaryota; Fungi; Ascomycota; Sordariomycetes; Microascales; Microascaceae. The record is from RNAcentral.
AGACCGAUAGCGAACAAGUAGAGUGAUCGAAAGAUGAAAAGCACUUUGAAAAGAGAGUUAAAAAGCACGUGAAAUUGUUGAAAGGGAAGCGCUUGCGACCAGACUUGCGCCCGCCGGAUCAACCGUCGCUUGUCGGCGGCUCACUCCGGCGGGCUCAGGCCAGCAUCAGUUUCCCUGGGGGGAGAAAGGCGGUGGGAAUGUGGCUCCUCGGAGUGUUAUAGCCCGCCGCGUAAUACCCUCGGGGGGACUGAGGACCGCGCAUCUGCAAGGAUGCUGGCGUAAUGGUUGUCAGCGACCCGUCUUGAAACACGGACCAAG